Molecule: long non-coding RNA, 516 nt
Organism: Spinacia oleracea (spinach)
Lineage: Eukaryota; Viridiplantae; Streptophyta; Magnoliopsida; Caryophyllales; Amaranthaceae
Exons: 2
Source: RefSeq, a predicted model, not a curated record
UGCUAACAACGACCACGCACAUUUUAAAAUCAAAGUUUGACAACGUUUAUACUAUAAAUACACAACUCGAACUCAUCCAAAAAGAACAACAACAUUUUAAGAAAAACAAUCAAGUUAAUUUAAAAGAGGAAAUAUGUCUUCUGAAUGCCAAGGUCAUGGGAAGAAUGCGUGGCCAGAACUAGUAGGGAGAGAUGGGCACGAGACAGCAAGAAUCAUAGAAAGUGAAAAUCCCGACGUGCAAGCCACAGUUUUACCGGUUGGAUCUAUGGUCACACUGGAUUUUAGGUGUGAUCGGGUUUGGGUUUGGGUCGAUUCAUACAACAAUGUGAACGCUAUCCCUAGAAUCGGUUAAGCUAUGGUGUUAGCCUAAUUGUACUACUUGAUUUAGCCUUGAGACUUCCAGUUUAUUCGUCUAUUUUGUGUAGUAUAUAAUCAAAUAAAUGUUUUGAGGCCUUUUAUGUAAAUAAAACCACUCCAUCAAUAAAUAAAGUAUUAGACCCUUGGUGUUGAUCUAAA